RNAcentral lists this ribosomal RNA (435 nucleotides) under uncultured bacterium. Its description in RNAcentral is "partial 16S ribosomal RNA". It matches the Rfam family "Bacterial small subunit ribosomal RNA", at positions 28 to 507 of the family's 1533-position model. The record is from RNAcentral.
GAUGAACGCUGGCGGUAUGCUUAACACAUGCAAGUCGAACGGACUCUUCGGAGUUAGUGGCGGACGGGUGCGUACCGCGUGAGAAUCUGGCUUUGGGUUCGGUACAACUACUGGAAAGGGUGGCUAAUACCGGAUGUGCUGAGAGGUAAAAGAGAAAUUGCCUGAAGAUUAGCUCGCGUCUGGUUAGGUAGUUUGUGAGGUAAAGGCACACCAAGGAAGCGAUGAGUAGCGGGUCUGAGAGGAUGAGCAGCCACACGGGGACUGAGACACCGCCCAGACGCCUGCGAGGGGCAGCAGGGGUGAAUUGUACGCAAGGCGCGAAAGACUGACGGAGAAGUACCGCGUGGGGGAAGAAGGCUCGUGUGGUGUAAACCUCUUGUCUUAGAGGAGAACAGAAUGACGGUACCUAAGGAAUAAGCAUCGGCUAACUCCGUG